RNAcentral lists this long non-coding RNA (611 nucleotides) under Homo sapiens (human). Its description in RNAcentral is "non-protein coding lnc-CCAR1-1:1". The record is from RNAcentral. Lineage: Eukaryota; Metazoa; Chordata; Mammalia; Primates; Hominidae.
CAGAGUAAAUCUGGAUUUGGAAUAAAAUAAGAAUCUUACUAUUCUAGAGAUAAACCUUCUGCUCCACAGUUAAUUUAUUGUUUUCAGACUUGGUCACAUUUAGCUCUUGGUUGCCUAGGGCCUCCACUAGUCUGCAGAUAAAGAUCAACUCAGGAAACUGAGGCCCAGAGGUAAAACUUACGAUCCAUGAAUUUCUUGCUUUCCUGGGCAUUCGACAUUGAUCCAGCAGUACUCUUGCUUAUAAGUGAGCUCAAGACCAGUAAACAAAACUAAUACUUUUAAAGAGUUCGUGGCUGGGCAACAGUGGCUCACGCCUGCAAUCCCAACACUUUGGGAGGCUGAGGUGGGAGGAUCACUUGAGGUUAGGUGUUUGAGACCAGUCUGGUCAACAUGGUGAAACCCCGUCCCUACUAAAAAUACAAAAAUAAGCCAGGCAUGCUGGUGUGCACCUGUAGUCCCAGUUAUUUGGGAGGCUGAGGCAGGAGAAUCACUGGAACCAGGGAGGUGGAAGUUUCAGUGAGCCGAGAUUGUGCCACUGCAACUCCAGCCUGGUUGACAGAGCGAGACCAUGUCUCAAAAAAAAAAAAGAGGCCAGGCAUGGUGGCUCACGC